AUCAAGAGACGGUCGCAGCGUCUCUACAAAGACUGCGACAGUAACAAAGGUCGUGCCAGGAUCCGCCGCAAGAUCCGGGACGAGAGGGGGUUCCUGAGUUCUGUGGUGGAGAAGUACAACAGAAUGGUUCCCACAACAGAAACGCUGUGCUUUGAAACCAUUCUGUCUGGAGAGAGAGCUUGGCCAUGGCAGCUACCACACAGUGACUCUGUUGACCUUGGGACCAAGAGGAGAGCAUUUGACCUGGUCAUGGCAGGGAAAAUAAUCCAGGAGGAGAAAAUGAUUCUUCAGAGGGAGAUGAAUCAGCACUGGAGGUCUCUGGGGAAUCGUGCUGACUCCCUAAAAGAGCUGUCCUGCCUUGUUUCAAGGGCUACAACAGAACAUUCACCUUGGGGCCUUACUGAGGAAGGGUUGACUGGUCUACAGUGCAUGAUCAAAAAUAAAUGGCACUUCAUCACAGAAAUGAUGGCUAACGCGAGACACUGCUACAUACAAGUGUUGACUGCAGCAGAGGGAGCACAGAUGAUCAACUCCCAGGACACUUCUGAUGACUACUCGGACAAUGACUGACAUUUCGGAUGAUUCAUUUUAAACAAUGGCUAUGCUUUGAUGUAAACCAUUCCAUUGUAGUUCUGGUUGUAUGUUUAGGGUCGUUGCCCUGCUGGAAGGUGAACCUCCCCUCCAGCCUAAGGCCUUUUGCGGACUGCAACAGGUGUUCUGCCCUGUAUUUGCCCCAUCCAUCUUCUCAUCAACUCUGAGCAGCUUCCCUGUCUCUGCUGAAGAAAAGCACCCCCACUGCAUGAUGCUGCCACCACCAUGUUUCAAGUCGGGGAUGGUGUGUUGAGGGAGGGUGCAAUGUUCUGCAGCUGUGACGUUCUACAGCUGUCUGUAAAUUCUCAAGAGUAGGGGGUGAGCUAGUGAUGGCAGUGUGACACUGAAGCUUCGAUACGUGCUUCAAACCAACUCCCAAGAAGCACUGCUUCGAAGCUUGCUUCAGAGCAAAAGAAACCACGUGACAUGUGACGUCCGAAGCAGCAACUGGUUCGUUGCCUGAAUGAAUCACUUGACUGG
This is a long non-coding RNA of Gadus chalcogrammus (walleye pollock), 1071 nucleotides long. RefSeq lists it as uncharacterized. The record is from RefSeq and is a predicted model, not a curated record. The transcript has 3 exons. NCBI's taxonomy places the organism in Eukaryota, Metazoa, Chordata, Actinopteri, Gadiformes, Gadidae.